Long non-coding RNA from Cervus elaphus (red deer), 2154 nucleotides. RefSeq lists it as uncharacterized. Lineage: Eukaryota; Metazoa; Chordata; Mammalia; Artiodactyla; Cervidae. The transcript is spliced from 2 exons. The record is from RefSeq and is a predicted model, not a curated record.
AUUUCCCAGGCAGGAAUACUGGAGUUGGUUGCCAUUUCCUUCUCCAGGGGACCUUCCUGACUCAGGGAUGGAACCCGAGUCUCUUGCUUUGGCAGGCAGAUUCUCUACCACUGAGCAACAAGCAUGAGUCUAAUAUGAGCAGGGUUGAGAAUCACCAACUUAUUAGAAUAAGCCCUGGGUUGUGCCAAGUCACAGCCUGCAUCCCCUCUAAUUGGUGAGUUGACUUCUCCACAUGAGUCAGACACCUGAUUUCCCCACAAAGAUCUUAAGGUCUAAUAUCUGCUCUCAAGAAGCAGGUGUGUGUGUGUGUGUGUGUGUGUGUGUGUGUAUGUGUGUGUGUGUAAGGUCUGAUACUUGCCCUCAAGAAGCAGGUGUGUGUGUGUGUGUGUGUGUAAGGUCUGAUACCUGCCCUCAAGAAGCAGGUGUGUGUGUGUGUGUAUGUGUAUGAGAUGAAGCUCUCAUGGUGUCAAGAACACAGUGUGGUUCAAAGGACGCCUUGAUUGGCUCUACCUGGAGCCUCAGCAAACAAAGAGGUGGUGAUGCUUCUGGCCAGAAAGCAAGAGGUUCGUAGCUGCCUCUCAGCCCAGCACAUCAGGGCACCUGCUCGCUCAACUUACAAGUUCCUAGCAGCAGGGCUCCUGCAGGGGCAGGAGGAGGGGACAUGAGCAGCAAGUGUUUCUAGAAGCAGCUCUGAGAAGUUCCCUUUUAAAAAGCUAAGCUUGAAUUACUGAAAGAGAAUCAUGCCUUGAGUUCUUUAAGCAGCUCCUCACUUUUCCCUGGAGAAGUAAUCAAGAGCUCUGUUGAGUUCAGACAGUCUGGUUUGUUCACAGCCCCAGGGAAAGGCCAGAACCUGGUACCAAGAACAGGGCUGAGCACCUCAGCUCACCUGGGCUGGGCUUGGGUGUCCCUGGAGCUGCUCAGCACUUAAGCAGUUGCUCUUCUUUCCCCCUCCUUCCCUCAUCCUGCACUCACCCAAUCUUUUUUUUGGAUGUGCUAUCUUUCCAUUCUGCAUCUUUCCAUGGUUAUCUUUUUUUUUUUUUUUUUAAGAAAGAAGUGGCAAGCUUCCCCAGUGGCUAAGCAGUAAAGAAUCUGCCUGCCAAUGCAGUAGACUCCGGUUUGAUCCCUGACUCGGGAAGAUCCCCUGGAGGAGGAAAUGGCAACCUACUCCAGUAUUCCUGCCUGGAGAAUUCCAAGGACAGAGGAGCCUGGCGGGCUACAGUCCAUAGAGUCACAAAGAGUUGGACAGACCUAAAGCAGCUGAGCACAACAGGUUGUUUAUUUUGUCUUUCUGACUGCAUGCCGGCAUGCAGGGUCUUAGCUCCCUAUUCAGGGAUCAAACCCAUGCCCCCUGCGGUGAAAGCUCAGUGUCCUAACCACUGGACUGCCAGGGAAUUCCUCCACACAUGCAAUCUUGAUGCCCACUGCACCAGGCUCCCAAAGAUAGGGGAAGUACACAGGCCCUGCUUUCACAGAGCUCAGUGUCUAGGGCCCCAAACUGACAAGCACAUGGGAAAUUCAGACUGUGACCCAGCCAGAGGCUGAGGAAGUCACGAGGCAGUGCAUGAACAUGCUCCCUGCCCUCCCCUGCCACUCUGGGUGAGGCCCUCACCCUCGCAGCUGGCUUUGGGGUGAAGCCAGAGUGGGAAGGAAAAGUGAGGAGGCGCUUGGGUGCCCAGAAACAGAAGGGAGGGGAAUGAGAAAGAAUCAGAAGUCCAGUCAUCACCACCCUCCUCAUGCACCCAGUCUCACCCCAGCUCCCCCACGUUCUCCCUCUGUGGUUCAGCCCCGCCCCCCCAAGCCUUUCUUUGCAAGUGGCAGUCAACCCUGUUCAGAGGUCAGGCAUCCACUGACCACUACUUUCCACACUGGCUGCCCAGCACUGUUAUCUCAGGGAGCCAAGCCAGCCGGAAACCACAGGCCUCGGGUCUUCUUCUCUGAUCCAUGGUUCUUGCCUGGAAACAUGAACUUGAAGUGCUGGUAUAUUGAACCAGUCAAACCUCAAGAAUUGAGCUGAGCAGCAUGGCUGUGUUUCAGGCAAGAAACUAAGCUGUGAAAUCAGACUCCUGGAAUCUCGGGACCUCAGUUGGCCUCUCUGUGCCUCAGUUUCCUUAUCUGUAAAACAGUGAUUAAAAUUAAAUCAGUGUUCAUAAAAGC